CACUCCUGCGGGAGGCAGCAGUAGGGAAUCUUCGGCAAUGGGGGCAACCCUGACCGAGCAACGCCGCGUGAGUGAAGAAGGUUUUCGGAUCGUAAAGCUCUGUUGUAAGUCAAGAACGAGUGUGAGAGUGGAAAGUUCACACUGUGACGGUAGCUUACCAGAAAGGGACGGCUAACUACGUGCCAGCAGCCGCGGUAAUACGUAGGUCCCGAGCGUUGUCCGGAUUUAUUGGGCGUAAAGCGAGCGCAGGCGGUUUGAUAAGUCUGAAGUUAAAGGCUGUGGCUCAACCAUAGUUCGCUUUGGAAACUGUCAAACUUGAGUGCAGAAGGGGAGAGUGGAAUUCCAUGUGUAGCGGUGAAAUGCGUAGAUAUAUGGAGGAACACCGGUGGCGAAAGCGGCUCUCUGGUCUGUAACUGACGCUGAGGCUCGAAAGCGUGGGGAGCGAACAGGAUUAGAUACCCCGGUAGUCCCAUG
This 474-nucleotide ribosomal RNA is filed under the name uncultured organism. RNAcentral describes it as "partial 16S ribosomal RNA". It matches the Rfam family "Bacterial small subunit ribosomal RNA", at positions 334 to 799 of the family's 1533-position model. The record is from RNAcentral.